GCGGGUGUAGCUCAAUGGUAGAGCAGCAGCUUCCCAAGCUGAAUACGGGAGUUCGAUUCUCCUCACCCGCUCCA
This 74-nucleotide transfer RNA is filed under the name Rhodospirillales bacterium. RNAcentral describes it as "tRNA-Gly". It matches the Rfam family "tRNA". From Rfam's summary of the family: Transfer RNA (tRNA) molecules are approximately 80 nucleotides in length. Their secondary structure includes four short double-helical elements and three loops (D, anti-codon, and T loops). The record is from RNAcentral. Lineage: Bacteria; Pseudomonadati; Pseudomonadota; Alphaproteobacteria; Rhodospirillales. RNAcentral also lists the same sequence under 1 other name.